RNAcentral lists this ribosomal RNA (368 nucleotides) under uncultured bacterium. Its description in RNAcentral is "bacterial SSU rRNA". It matches the Rfam family "Bacterial small subunit ribosomal RNA", at positions 28 to 396 of the family's 1533-position model. The record is from RNAcentral.
GACGAACGCUGGCGGCGUGCUUAACACAUGCAAGUCGAGCGGUAAGGCCCUUUCGGGGUACGACGAGCGGCGAACGGGUGAGUAACACGUGGGUGACCUGCCCUCAGCUCUGGGAUAAGCCUGGGAAACCGGGUCUAAUACUGGAUAUGACUCCAUGACGCAUGUUGUGGGGUGGAAAGCCUUGUGCGGCUGAGGAUGGGCCCGCGGCCUAUCAGCUUGUUGGUGGGGUGAUGGCCUACCAAGGCGACGACGGGUAGCCGGCCUGAGAGGGCGACCGGCCACACUGGGACUGAGACACGGCCCAGGACUCCUACGGGAGGCAGCAGUGGGGAAUCUUGCGCAAUGGGCGAAAGCCUGACGCAGCGACG